CAUUUUAUAUUUUCAUUCACGACUACAUGUUUUUUUUUUUUGGUUACAAAGUGAUAACAUCGGAUUAAUAAAGUAUUUUAGGAACAGAGAAGAAUGAGAUUUUGGAAGAGUGAAACAGUUUACUGAUAUACAUAGAUUACCUUGAUGUUCACAAUUAUUCUAAUGCCUAAUUCAGCUAUCAUACGAGCAGGAUAGAGCAAUGGCAUCUCUUACACCUGGAGUGCUAAUAAAGCUUCUUCAGAGUAUUAACUCCAAUAUAAAGGUUCGUGGAGAUUAUCGGUCAGUUCUCUUGCAAGUGAUCAGCAUUGUCCCUGCUAUAUCUGGCUCUGAACUAUGGCCAGACCAUGGCUUCUUCCUCAAAGUCUCCGAUUCUUCUCAUUCGACGUAUGUUUCGCUCUCGAAGGAAGACAAUGAGCUUAUCUUGAACAACAAGUUACAGCUUGGCCAGUUCUUCUAUGUGGAUAGAGUAGAGGGUGGGACACCAGUUCCAACUCUUGAAGGGGUUAGACCAGUUCCAGGACGACACGCUUUCGUGGGGAACCCCAAGGAUUUGAUGCAAAUGUUAGAGCCAUCAGAGAAUCCGGCUCAGGCUGAUCAUUUUGAGGGAACCAACGGUUCAAGAUCUAAAGAGUUGGUGGAAGUGAAGGAGGAAAACACAAGACAAAAGAUUGUCAUCAAGGAAGAAAAAGCAGUUGUUGCAUCCCGGUAUAUGCAAGGUUUUACCACAUCAAACGCCAAAUCUAGUGGAGUAGAUUCCAACGGAUCAGCUGGAAAGAGUAAUGACAACGAGAGUGAUGGAAAGAAAUCUGGCAUGAUGAGAGGAAAGCAACCAGAGCAAAAUAGUCGGGCAUGUCCAGUGACUCCUAGGAUUCGACCUGAUACACUCUCAUCAAGGCCAGAUUUUGUUAUAUCUAAUACCAAAGAGACUCAGGUGCCACCUAAGAGCACUUCUACCAAACGCUUGUUGAGUAAACAGGAAAACGUGAACUUGAAUUUGUCAUCAAACAACAGAGACAGGAAUUAUUCUCCUGAAGCGCUUCUCUGGUCUUCUUUGCCUGCUAAUCUUUUAAAGCCUGGAAAGGGAAUGCUUAGGAGGAGGAACUUAGCUUCUUUGGUCGCAACAGAAGCUCAAAAAGAAGCAGCCAAAGCUGCAACACUUGUCAAGUGCCUCAGUAUGUUUGCUGAACUUUGCUCAUCUGCCUCACCUGAGAAUCCCCACCUCUCUUUCAACACUUUCUUCAUGCUUAGCAAGAUCAUUGAUCAAUUAAAUGAGAUCAUUCCAUUGAAGGAUAAAGCAUUUCCUUUAAAUACAAUCUCCUCACCUCCAAACAUAGAGAAACCAAUUGGAAAAAAGAUUACAAGUUCUGUAACUCGUAAAAGUACAAUGAGGGCAACCAAGAAUCCUGUUGAAGUAAGUGGAUUUGAGAAACUAGAAUGGGCUAAAGGAGAGAGUACAAAAGAUAUCAAAGAGCUAAGAGAGCUUCUCUUGAGUGAAACAAGUUCUUGGUUUCUUAAAUUUUUGGAUGCAGCUUUAGAUGAUGGCUUUCGUCUCAACACCCAAGAGAAGAAAGGUAAGAACAGUGUAGGACGGCGAGUUGAGCCAGACAACCACAUUGCUAUCACAUUAUCACAGCUUAAGAAUGCAAAUGAGUGGUUAGAAAAACUGAAAAACAACUCAAGCUCGGAGAAUGAUGGAUUAGUGGAGACCGUUAAUCGGCUGAAGAAAAAAGUAUAUUCUUGUUUGCUUGGUCACGUGGAGUCUGCAGCAUCCGCCCUUGAGAACCGAUCUGAUCGAGGUUGAUUAAGCAAAAUGGAAUGUUUUGGAUUUUUUUUUCUGUAAUAUUUAUGAAUUAUUUAUUAUAGCAGCAGUGUAAAGAACAUUUAGAAAGGAGACAAUAGCCAGAAUUCUCAAUUAGUCAACUAACCUUCACCUUACGAGCUGGUCCAUGCUAUCUACAAUGUGCCUGCAAAGGAGAAGAUAAAAGCCAGAGAAGUGGAGCACAUGCCAAAUUUUCAGUCCUCAGGCUGAUAAGACUGGCAUGUGCCCUGCUUCUCCAGCAUGGCUUAGCCUUCUUUCUAUAACCCCUUAGUUUAUCCUGAAUGGCCACAACUAGAGCUGUAAAUACGGGUCAAGCUUUCUAGCACGACACGAAACCGGCACGAGCCUGGGAGGUACGACACGGCACGGAAAAAUAUGGACUUGAGCCAGGCACGACAUGGGCUCGCAAUAGGUAAACGGUGAUGAGCAUAGGUGAACCAAGGUAAUGAGCUUGUAAUAGGUAAAUGGUCUUGAAGGCGUGUGAAUCUAGCGUCCAACUCGCAAGCUGUGUGCGAAUAUGUACAUUGUUGUAAAAUCAUUAUGUUUAAGGGAUCAGAUGUAAUUUGUUAUUAAACCCCAAAUAUUAUGGAAUAUUAUCGUGUACGUAGUAACUAAUGCAUAUAAUGACAUUAUUUUAAUUGAUUUAUAGAAUAACUUCCCAAAAUCUGUGGGAAUAGAUUCGGUAAGCCACUCUAUAAAUAGAGUGGGACGAUUCAUUUGUAGAUGACGGAAAAACGAAUAUUGAAAAAUACUGUACAAUUG
This is an RNA transcript of Humulus lupulus (European hop), 2581 nucleotides long. RefSeq lists it as uncharacterized. The transcript is spliced from 5 exons. NCBI's taxonomy places the organism in Eukaryota, Viridiplantae, Streptophyta, Magnoliopsida, Rosales, Cannabaceae. The record is from RefSeq and is a predicted model, not a curated record.